RNAcentral lists this ribosomal RNA (204 nucleotides) under uncultured Desulfovibrio sp. RNAcentral's name for it is "partial 16S ribosomal RNA". It matches the Rfam family "Bacterial small subunit ribosomal RNA", at positions 1179 to 1382 of the family's 1533-position model. The record is from RNAcentral. Lineage: Bacteria; Pseudomonadati; Thermodesulfobacteriota; Desulfovibrionia; Desulfovibrionales; Desulfovibrionaceae.
AUGACGUCAAGUCCUCAUGGCCUUUAUGUCUAGGGCUACACACGUACUACAAUGGCCGGUACAAAGGGCAGCCACUCAGCGAUGAGGCGCUAAUCCCAUAAAGCCGUCCACAGUUCGGAUUGGAGUCUGCAACUCGACUCCAUGAAGCCGGAAUCGCUAGUAAUCGUGGAUCAGCAUGCCACGGUGAAUACGUUCCCGGGCCUU